UAUUAUAUGACAUGCAAGGAUAAAUGUGAUUUUCAGACUCUUUCGUUGGGGGACUUACAGUCUGGUAGGAGACAGAAGACAAGUUGCUAAAUACGCAGGGUAGCCUAUGACAAGAGUUAGUGUGAGGUGUUUGGAGAGGGCAAAAAUCAAUUCUUGCUGCAAGACACAGGAAAUGUUUCACGGAGCAGCCGACUGUGACAGAGGCCUUGAAGACUAUGUACAAUUAAGAAAUCACAAGUACAGCGUAAGUAAUGGCACAGAGAAAGGAAAUUUCAAGCAAUGCCAAUUGGAUGAUAAAUAGCCUGCUCAUGUUACAGUAUGGAUGGUGUCAGGCACAGAUUUCACUUGAAUAUCAGAAUCACCGUGUGUCCAUGGAGACAUUUUAUGAUAAUCCAAUAUGGUCCCUCCUGGCCCUACUGUUAAUCACCGCUUUACAGAACUACCAUUAGUCCCUUGAAGUUAGUUUCCUUGAAGAAUGAAAAAAGAAAGGCUUUGAGUGCUGGUAGAAGUGAGGAGUGAAGGAUGUGAUUGGAUAAAUAGACUGGGAACAGAAUGUAGAUAUUCUUAACACAUUUAAAUGUGAUAAAAUUUAGAUAGCCACAAAAAAAUUACAGAAGGGUUCUCAGCAAGCUACAAAAAUAAUGAAUUGCUAUAUCAGUUAAAGUUCUAAGAAUAGGUUUGGCUCAUAGAGAAUCUGGCUGAUGAUCUAAAAUAAUUAUGGAAUUUUAUGAAUUUAGGUUAAAAGGGGUUUGAGUAGCAGCUUUCAUCAACAGCCUCUGUUAACAAGGAAAAACACUAGCACAGAUGGAUUUGUGCUUGAUACGGCAUGGUACUUUCCAUGCUGCUUUGGCAGAUUAGUGCUUACUGGGUUUUCUUCAUGCUUUUAGCAACAAAAUUACAGAUAGCUGUGGACAUAUUUCAUUUGACUUUUAUUCUAUUGGUUGUUUUUUGGCAGGUACUAUGAGGACAGUGCCAGUAGUAUUUUGUCAUGCAUACAACAGCCAACUGCAUAACUUCUAUGGAAAAGCCAAAUUCCUUAGUGGCAGAAUAUAAAUUCAUGACCUAGGGCACUCACGUAUUUUGUAUCAUAGGUCAACACAUUUUAUUUUCCUCACCAAAUACUUUAAAUAUUUUUCAAAUGUUUCUCAUUUAAGGAUGUAAUAUUUAACAUUAUUUGCUCAUUUUACUUCAACCUUUCAGCUCUGCUAAUAAAAAGUAUAUAUUGAAAGAUGGUGACAUCUGUUAUUCACUGCAAAGAUGCAGCAGACCUCAGACUCCACUGCAUCUACGGGGAUGAAUCUCUCAGCUCAAGCUGCACCAAGCCGCCCCAGGCUCCUCCCUCUCAGGCUCCUCAUUGGCUGGCAGAGCGGUGGGACCUUGGAAUCCUCGCUGCCUCCCUUUGAACCUUGAAAAUGAGGAGAGAGCAAAACGAAUUACAUCCUUAACCGGGAGUUCAAAGAGUUAAAUGUCUAUUUUUGGAGAGGUCGAAUCAGGGCAGCUGCUGGCGACAAAACCUGCCCUUGCUACUGAGCAUGCUCAGCGUCACUUAGAAACCCACAGAAGUUUCAGGAUAUACGUCUCUUCUCUAAGGUUUUAGUGGAUACCACAAGGGGAAGAGCAAAAAGGAAGGGAGAUUUUCAAGAGCUGUAAAACGAGAUGAGGGAGAGGGAACGAGGGAAAUGGGGGAGGAGGGACAAGAGUGUCAACAUAAAGAGUCUGAAAAGAGUAUUGAAUGAAUCUAAAAUGGAGAGAAAAGAAAGUGACAAGUGUGGAGGCCACUGGAAAAAACAAAGUAUCAAAUACUUAGAUAUGAUCUUUGGUGCCGCUGCCCCAACCCCCAUUUUGUUUUUUUCUGUGAUUCCACAUGAAGUCCUAGAACCUAUCAGACAAGUUGUAAUUGAGGAUAUUCCUUUUUGUGGGUUUUUUGUUUUGUUUUGUUGGGGGGGGGGGUGUUUGUUUGUUUUUGGUAAAUAGAAGUCUUCUGUAGUAUAAAAAAUAAUUAUUGGCUAUACUCCCAUCCGUAUGUUUACUUGUCCUGAUAGUAAAAAUCUUCCAACUCCAUAACGGCUAUUUUUAGCAAUGGAGCAUAUUUAUUUACAAUGUAACUAUUAAAUAAACGAGUGCAAGGUUUCAC
Herpailurus yagouaroundi (jaguarundi) is the source of this 2134-nucleotide long non-coding RNA. RefSeq lists it as uncharacterized. The transcript has 2 exons. Lineage: Eukaryota; Metazoa; Chordata; Mammalia; Carnivora; Felidae. The record is from RefSeq and is a predicted model, not a curated record.